UGCCCAGUCGUGGGGGAUAACGUAGUGAAAAUUACGCUAAUACCGCAUACGAUUUACGGAUGAAAGCGGGGGAUCGCAAGACCUCGCGCGAUUGGAGCGGCCGAUAUCAGAUUAGGUAGUUGGUGAGGUAAAGGCUCACCCAGCCAACGAUCUGUAGCUGGUUUGAGAGGACGACCCGCCCCCCUGGAAAUGAGACCCGGUCCCGACUCCUACGGGAGGCAGCCGUGGGGAAUUUUGGACAAUGGACGCAAGUUUGAUCCCGCCCUUCCGCGUGCCGGACGAAGGCCUUCGGGUUGUAAACUGCUUUUGUACAGAACGAAAAGGUCUCUAUUAAUACUAGGGGCUCAUGACGGUUCUAGGAGAAUAAGCCCCGGCUAACUACGUGCCCGCAGCC
This 394-nucleotide ribosomal RNA is filed under the name uncultured bacterium. Its description in RNAcentral is "bacterial SSU rRNA". It matches the Rfam family "Bacterial small subunit ribosomal RNA", at positions 127 to 516 of the family's 1533-position model. The record is from RNAcentral.